CAAUAGCGUAUAUUUAAGUUGCUGCAGUUAAAAAGCUCGUAGUUGGAUUUCGGGUGGGAAUGGCCGGUCCGCCGUUUCGGUGUGCACUUGCUACGCCCACCUUGCUGCCGGGGACGUGCUCUUGAGUUCACGCUCGGGACACGGAGUCGGCGAGGUUACUUUGAGUAAAUUAGAGUGUUCAAAGCAUGCCUACGCUCUGAAUACAUUAGCAUGGAAUAACACGAUAGGACUCUGGCCUAUCUUGUUGGUCUGUAGGACCGGAGUAAUGAUUAAGAGGGACAGUCGGGGGCAUUCGUAUUUCAUUGUCAGGGGUGAAAUUCUUGGAUUUAUGAAAGACGAACUACUGCGAAAGCAUUUGCCAAGGAUGUUUUCAUUAA
Molecule: ribosomal RNA, 377 nt
Filed under: uncultured eukaryote
Lineage: Eukaryota
Description: partial 18S ribosomal RNA
Rfam family: Eukaryotic small subunit ribosomal RNA
Source: RNAcentral